GCUAGUUGCAGGGUCCACAUUGCAGACACUGCAUGCCUGGUACAGUAAGUGUGUGUCUGUAGGUGGACAUUGUCAGCCGAAGUGGGGAGAAGAUUCCCGUCUCUGUGUGGAUAAAGAGGUUGCAACAAGAUCGUGGCUUGUGCUGUGUAGUGGUUCUGGAGCCUGUGGAGAGGGUCUCAGCCUGGGUCGCCUUCCAGAGUGAUGGAACUAUCACGUCAUGCGACAGCCUCUUUGCUCAUCUUCAUGGGUUCACAUCUCCAAAGGAUGUGGUUGGGCAGUGUGUCAUAGACUUGAUUCCAUCUAUACAGCUCCCUCCUCCUGGCCAACAUGUCCCAAAGAGUCUCAAGAUUCAAAGGUCUGUUGGGAGAGCCAGAGACGGGACCACCUUCCCUCUCAGUCUGAAGUUGAAAUCUAAGACCAGUGGAAAGGCUGUAGCUGAAAGUGAGGUGGCCUCAGAACCAGGUUACCAGGCUUCUGUGUGGGUGUUCUGCACCAUCAGUGGCCUCAUCACUCUCCUGCCUGAUGGCACAAUUUA
Molecule: long non-coding RNA, 535 nt
Filed under: Rattus norvegicus (Norway rat)
Lineage: Eukaryota; Metazoa; Chordata; Mammalia; Rodentia; Muridae
Description: long non-coding RNA NONRATT030306
Source: RNAcentral